UACGUAGGGUGCGAGCGUUGCCCGGAUUUAUUGGGCGUAAAGGGCGCGUAGGCGGCCACCGCAAGUCGACUGUGAAAUCUCCGGGCUUAACCCGGAAAGGUCAGCCGAUACUGCGGGGCUAGAGUGCAGAAGGGGCAACUGGAAUUCUCGGUGUAGCGGUGAAAUGCGUAGAUAUCGAGAGGAACACCUGCGGCGAAGGCGGGUUGCUGGGCUGACACUGACGCUGAGACGCGAAAGCUAGGGGAGCGAACGGG
RNAcentral lists this ribosomal RNA (254 nucleotides) under uncultured bacterium. RNAcentral's name for it is "partial 16S ribosomal RNA". It matches the Rfam family "Bacterial small subunit ribosomal RNA", at positions 524 to 776 of the family's 1533-position model. The record is from RNAcentral.